AGUGAACGCUGGCGGUAGGCCUAACGCAUGCAAGUCGAACGGCAGCACAGUAAGAGCUUGCUCUUACGGGUGGCGAGUGGCGGACGGGUGAGGAAUACAUCGGAAUCUACUUUUUCGUGGGGGAUAACGUAGGGAAACUUACGCUAAUACCGCAUACGACCUACGGGUGAAAGCAGGGGAUCUUCGGACCUUGCGCGAUUGAAUGAGCCGAUGUCGGAUUAGCUAGUUGGCGGGGUAAAGGCCCACCAAGGCGACGAUCCGUAGCUGGUCUGAGAGGAUGAUCAGCCACACUGGAACUGAGACACGGUCCAGACUCCUACGGGAGGCAGCAGUGGGGAAUAUUGGACAAUGGGCGCAAGCCUGAUCCAGCCAUACCGCGUGGGUGAAGAAGGCCUUCGGGUUGUAAAGCCCUUUUGUUGGGAAAGAAAAGCGGCAGGUUAAUACCCCGCUGUUCUGACGGUACCCAAAGAAUAAGCACCGGCUAACUUCGUG
This 492-nucleotide ribosomal RNA is filed under the name uncultured bacterium. Its description in RNAcentral is "partial 16S ribosomal RNA". It matches the Rfam family "Bacterial small subunit ribosomal RNA", at positions 29 to 507 of the family's 1533-position model. The record is from RNAcentral.